Molecule: ribosomal RNA, 482 nt
Filed under: uncultured bacterium
Lineage: Bacteria
Description: partial 16S ribosomal RNA
Rfam family: Bacterial small subunit ribosomal RNA
Source: RNAcentral
AUUGAACGCUGGCGGCAUGCUUUACACAUGCAAGUCGAACGGCAGCGCGGGCUUCGGCCUGGCGGCGAGUGGCGAACGGGUGAGUAAUACAUCGGAACGUGCCCAGUAGUGGGGGAUAGCUCGGCGAAAGCCGGAUUAAUACCGCAUACGACCUGAGGGUGAAAGCGGGGGAUCUUCGGACCUCGCGCUAUUGGAGCGGCCGAUGGCAGAUUAGCUAGUUGGUGGGGUAAAGGCCUACCAAGGCGACGAUCUGUAGCUGGUCUGAGAGGACGACCAGCCACACUGGGACGGAGACACGGCCCAGACUCCUACGGGAGGCAGCAGUGGGGAAUUUUGGACAAUGGGCGAAAGCCUGAUCCAGCAAUGCCGCGUGUGAUGAAGGCCUUCGGGUUGUAAAGCACUUUUGGCGGGAACGAAAAGGACUGUGCCAAUACCACGGUUCGAUGACGGUACCCGCAGAAUAAGCACCGGCUAACUACGUG